GAUGAACGCUGGCGGCGUGCCUAAUACAUGCAAGUCGAGCGAACAGAUGAGAAGCUUGCUUCUCUGAUGUUAGCGGCGGACGGGUGAGUAACACGUGGGUAACCUACCUAUGAGACUGGGAUAACUCCGGGAAACCGGGGCUAAUACCGGAUAAUAUUUUGAACCGCAUGGUUCAAUAGUGAAAGACGGGUUCGGCUGUCACUUAUAGAUGGACCCGCGCGGUAUUAACUAGUUGGUAAGGUAACGGCUUACCAAGGCGACGAUACGUAGCCGACCUGAGAGGGUGAUCGGCAACACUGGAACUGAGAGACGGUCACGCCUCCUACGGGAGGCAGCAGUAGGGAAUCUUCCGCAAUGGGCGAAAGCCUGACGGAGCAACGCCGCGUGAGUGAUGAAGGUCUUCGGAUCGUAAAACUCUGUUGUUAGGGAAGAACAAACUUCUUAGUAACUGAACAAGUCUUGACGGUACCUAACCAGAAAGCCACGGCUAACUACGUGCCAGCAGCCGCUGUAA
RNAcentral lists this ribosomal RNA (514 nucleotides) under uncultured bacterium. RNAcentral's name for it is "partial 16S ribosomal RNA". It matches the Rfam family "Bacterial small subunit ribosomal RNA", at positions 28 to 523 of the family's 1533-position model. The record is from RNAcentral.